Molecule: ribosomal RNA, 495 nt
Filed under: uncultured bacterium
Lineage: Bacteria
Description: partial 16S ribosomal RNA
Rfam family: Bacterial small subunit ribosomal RNA
Source: RNAcentral
GAUGAACGCUGGCGGCGUGCCUAACACAUGCAAGUGGAGCGACGAACCCGGACUUGUCCGGGGGCAAAGCCGCGAACGGGUGAGUAACACGUGGAUUAUCUGCCCCAACGACCGGGGCAACUCGAGGAAACUCGAGCUAAUACCGGAUGUGCUCUUCGGAGGAAAGGAAGCUUCGGCCUCCGCAUUGGGAUGAGUCCGCGGUGCAUUAGCUAGUUGGUGGGGUAAAGGCCCACCAAGGCGACGAUGCAUAGCUGGUCUGAGAGGACGAUCAGCCACACUGGAACUGAGACACGGUCCAGACUCCUACGGGAGGCAGCAGUGGGGAAUCUUGCGCAAUGCACGAAAGUGUGACUCAGCAACGCCGCGUGCGGGAAGAAGGUCUUCGGAUCGUAAACCGCUUUCAGUUGGGACGAGGGUUACACGGUGAAUAGCCGGCGUAACUGACGGUACCUUCAGAAGAAGCCCCGGCUAACUACGUGCCAGCCGCCGCAGUAA